Molecule: long non-coding RNA, 980 nt
Filed under: Marmota monax (woodchuck)
Lineage: Eukaryota; Metazoa; Chordata; Mammalia; Rodentia; Sciuridae
Source: RNAcentral
AUUAAGCCUUUAUUGUUUAGUGGACUUGGGUGAGUAUUUUAUAUAAAUACUUCAAAUUCUUUUUGGAAAUAAACAACUGGUGAAUUAAUAUGUAAAUUAAUGUUAGCAUGGAUACCAAGUAGACCUAAGUUUUCUUGACAGUGGACCUGACAGUGCCUGGUCUAAGAUGAGUGAGAGCCUGAAAUGCAAGAUCUAGACCCAAAUGUUUUGUAGGCAAAUUGUGGUCCAUCACCUGCAGUGGACACUGAAGUGGAUUGAGAGCAGCAGCAGUCAGGAUGAAAGGAAAAUGAAGCCCUGUGCCAACUGUUCAAUAAAGGCAUCAGUCCUACAGCUCUCAUCUUAAACAACAAAAUACAAGCAGGAGGUAGCAAUAUAGAAACUGGGGAUUUCAGAAAAUUUGCUAAAUUUUAAUAUAGAAGGUAGAAGAUAGAUCCUAGAAAUGGCUGGCUACCGGAGAUGAAUAUCUUCAUGUGUUGCAUAUCAACAUACACUACACUAAGGGGUAAAGGAUGCUGGUAAGGCCAAAAGGAUGAAAUGUUUUUUCAUCAGGUUCAUUAGUGUAAUUUUAGAGAGUGGCCAUAGUAUGGACGGAAAAAAAAAAAGAUUGUCUUACAUUAAGAUUGCAAGUGCAUUUUAAAUUUAGUUAACAAUUUGUUAUGUGUUUUCAGAAAUAAAAUUAAGACACUUCUGUUAAAAGUACGACUUUUACGCCUACUGAAUGAUAGUACUAAAUUAUCAUUCAUUCAUUUAACAAAUGCCAGUUGGGCCCUUAAUGUUUGCCAGGCUCAGUUAAAACUGUUUUCAAGCUACUAGGUGGGCUUGAAGGUCAAAGAUGAAUCCUGAUAUCCUAAUGUUGGCUCUCAAGGCACUUCAAAUCCUAAGGACAAGGUUCACCAGAAGACAUGUCACUUUUGUAAUGAGACUGGGACAGAUAAUAGAGGAUCUUUGUCUAAUUGGUUGGGUAUCAAAGAAGAAGUGAG